This 253-nucleotide ribosomal RNA is filed under the name uncultured bacterium. Its description in RNAcentral is "partial 16S ribosomal RNA". It matches the Rfam family "Bacterial small subunit ribosomal RNA", at positions 524 to 776 of the family's 1533-position model. The record is from RNAcentral.
UACGUAGGGUGCGAGCGUUAAUCGGAAUUACUGGGCGUAAAGCGUGCGCAGGCGGUUUGGUAAGGCAGAUGUGAAAUCCCCGGGCUUAACCUGGGAAUUGCAGUGGAAACUAGGGGACUGGAAUCUGGCAGAGGGGGGUGGAAUGCCGCGUGUAGCAGUGAAAUGCGUAGAGAUGCGGUGGAACACCGAUGGCGAAGGCAGCCCCCUGGGCUGAGAUUGACGCUCAGGCACGAAAGCGUGGGGAGCAAACAGG